This 63-nucleotide transfer RNA is filed under the name Popillia japonica (Japanese beetle). RNAcentral's name for it is "tRNA-Cys". The record is from RNAcentral. Lineage: Eukaryota; Metazoa; Arthropoda; Insecta; Coleoptera; Scarabaeidae.
AGCUUUAUAGUUCAAAAAGAAUUUUAAAUUGCAAAUUUAAAGAUGGGCUAAGCCCUAAGGCUU